GGAGGGUGCAAGCGUUAAUCGGAAUUACUGGGCGUAAAGCGUACGUAGGCGGCGUGUUAAGCAAGAUGUGAAAGCCCCGGGCUCAACCUGGGAAUUGCAUUUUGAACUGGCAUGCUAGAGUCCUGAAGAGGGUGGUAGAAUUUCCAGUGUAGCGGUGAAAUGCGUAGAUAUUGGAAGGAAUACCAGUGGCGAAGGCGGCCACCUGGUCAGAGACUGACGCUGAGGUACGAAAGCGUGGGGAGCAAACAGGAUUAGAUACCCUGGUAGUCCACGCCGUAAACGAUGUCAACUAGUUGUUCGUGUCAUUAAGACGUGAGUAACGCAGCUAACGCACUAAGUUGACCGCCUGGGGAGUACGGCCGCAAGGUUAAAACUCAAAUGAAUUGACGGGGGCCCGCACAAGCGGUGGAGCAUGUGGUUUAAUUCGAUGCAACGCGAAGAACCUUACCAUCCCUUGACAUCCAGUGAAUUUUCCAGAGAUGGAUUAGUGCCUUCGGGAACACUGAGACAGGUGCUGCAUGGCUGUCGUCAGCUCGUGUUGUGAGAUGUUGGGUUAAGUCCCGCAGCGAGCGCAACCCUUAUCCUUAGUUGCCAGCACGUAAUGGUGGGAACUCUGGGGAGACUGCCGGUGAUAAACCGGAGGAAGGUGGGGACGACGGCAGUCAUCAUGGCCCUUACGGGAUGGGCUACACACGUGCUACAAUGGCGCAUACAAAGGGCAGCAAGCCAGCGAUGGUUAGCGAAUCUCAUAAAGUGCGUCGUAGUCCGGAUUGGAGUCUGCAACUCGACUCCAUGAAGUCGGAAUCGCUAGUAAUCGUGGAUCAGAAUGCCACGGUGAAUACGUUCCCGGGCCUU
RNAcentral lists this ribosomal RNA (855 nucleotides) under uncultured organism. RNAcentral describes it as "bacterial SSU rRNA". It matches the Rfam family "Bacterial small subunit ribosomal RNA", at positions 527 to 1382 of the family's 1533-position model. The record is from RNAcentral.